Terrapene triunguis (Three-toed box turtle) is the source of this 606-nucleotide long non-coding RNA. RefSeq lists it as uncharacterized. NCBI's taxonomy places the organism in Eukaryota, Metazoa, Chordata, Testudines, Emydidae. The record is from RefSeq and is a predicted model, not a curated record. The transcript has 3 exons.
CUGGGCUCAGCUAAAUUCAAUUCACAUUUGUACAAAGCUGCAAUUCAUACUGGGAUGUCUGAGGACUCAAGUGAACUCAAAUGUGCAUUUGCAGCCCCCUCAUGGAAGGGAACAGGCAAGGAACACGUUUCGACACAAUAGCGGUUUGGAUUUUUUCCCGUAAAAGACACGUGUUGCACUCUCUGCAUUCCCUCGGCGCGCGUCUAGUUGUGGGCGCUUCGUUAAGGAACGCAUCAAGACUCUCUGCUAUCUCUUCACCUCACAGAGACCUUCAGACAGCAUAAUGGGUUUAAAAUUUAUAUGCAGCUCAUGAACAAGCACUAACAGAUGAAUCUGUCUCACUGGAACCAGAACAGCACGUGCAUUGUUUUUGUUACUAAACUACAAUGAGGGAACUUAAGUGUUUGGACCUGAAGCUUAAAAAGAAGCUGGAUGUUAACGUCCCUGGGUGUUUCUCCUCCUGUGUUCUCCAUGAGCUCUGCAUUCCCAGGAACACUGAACAACUUAUUUGGCAAAGCAGGCCUCUGAUCUUCUCCACGACAUCAUUACGUCUGUGCUGCCGCAGUGCGCUGAUGAGCUGAGCGAGACUGGCUUCAGGACCUCGGA